Molecule: long non-coding RNA, 205 nt
Filed under: Elaeis guineensis (African oil palm)
Lineage: Eukaryota; Viridiplantae; Streptophyta; Magnoliopsida; Arecales; Arecaceae
Description: long non-coding RNA (EGUI_LNC071428)
Source: RNAcentral
GGUUAAAUCCUUUAACCCCACAUGCUAGAUACCAGAUCUAAACCUACCAAGCCCAGAAAAAGCACAUAUUAUCAAUCUAAAAUUUAAAAAAAAUUAUGAGAUCAGAUCUCAUUACCUUUGCGCAGAUAGAAAUUCAUCGCUAUUGAUAAUCUCAGAUUCGUAGAAGGUUGAGCCGCAUACAUGUCCGGCCUCUACGGAUAUCCAC